UACGGGGGGUGCAAGCGUUGUUCGGAAUUACUGGGCGUAAAGGGCUCGUAGGCGGCCAACUAAGUCAGAUGUGAAAUCCCCAGGCUUAACCUGGGAACUGCAUCUGAUACUGGAUGGCUUGAGUCCGGGAGAGGGAUGCAGAAUUCCAGGUGUAGCGGUGAAAUGCGUAGAUAUCUGGAGGAAUACCGGUGGCGAAGGCGGCAUCCUGGACCGGCAUUGACGCUGAGGAGCGAAAGCUAGGGGAGCAAACGGG
Molecule: ribosomal RNA, 253 nt
Filed under: uncultured bacterium
Lineage: Bacteria
Description: partial 16S ribosomal RNA
Rfam family: Bacterial small subunit ribosomal RNA
Source: RNAcentral